Molecule: ribosomal RNA, 206 nt
Filed under: uncultured bacterium
Lineage: Bacteria
Description: partial 16S ribosomal RNA
Rfam family: Bacterial small subunit ribosomal RNA
Source: RNAcentral
CACGUGGGUUAUCUGCCUUUUGGUGGGGAAUAACCCUGGGAAACCGGGGCUAAUACCGCAUAAGUCCGCAAGGAGAAAGUCGCAAGACGCCGAAAGAGGAGCCCGCGGCCGAUUAGCUAGUUGGUGGGGUAAUGGCUCACCAAGGCAAAGAUCGGUAGCCGGCCUGAGAGGGCACACGGCCACACUGGCACUGAAACACGGGCCAG